Non-coding RNA from Macaca mulatta (Rhesus monkey), 1944 nucleotides. Lineage: Eukaryota; Metazoa; Chordata; Mammalia; Primates; Cercopithecidae. The record is from RefSeq and is a predicted model, not a curated record.
AAGAAGAAAUAACAUCUAUCAAAUCAACCCUGCCUCAAAGUUCAGCUCACCCACCAGGAAUAAAACAUUUUCUACUAAAAAUGAAGAUAGAAGAGAGACAGAAGAUGCAGAAACCCCAAUUUCAUGCACUUGUGCCUGAAUAAUGUCUCCGUGCUGCUUUUUCCAGAUGGCGACCUUCUCACUGGAGGGACUAAUGAUGUGGGUAUAUUUAGGGAAAAACCAAUAACGGAGUCUUUAACCUUCAACAACAAAAAGCAUGUUGUACAAAAUGUUCCUUGGGAUACAUUAGAAAAUAUCAAUUACAUUGCUCACUGAGGUGUAAUCAGCUGUAAUAAUCAAAAUUAAUUUUUAAAAAUAAUUAAACAGACCCCAGGGCAAAUAGUUGAUGCUCUUAUCCUAUGACAUCACAGUGUACAUAUGUACCUGAGAAGUUGUGCCUUCUGUUAGCGACAAAGACAUCUCACGGAGUUGAGUGAUGGAUGCAGUGUCUGAAAGCUGGUGAGUUUCAUCUCAGCAAAAGGAGGGGGAGCGUCUACUCCCUUGCUCUAAGCACUUCCAUCUGCAUUCUUUAAGGGCCUACCGUGUAGCAGGCACUGUGCCCAUCCAAGACUGAGUUACCAGUACAAGAUGUUGCUAAGCAAAGAUGCAGUUAAUUUUAAAGAUUAAAACACAGUUCUUUUUGUUUCAAAAAUCAUUUGUCUUUUAAUAGCUACAAGAUAAUUUAAAGUGUACAAAGAAUAAAUCAAACUGAAGGGAAAGUGGGGGUCAAUGGAGAACGAAGCCAGGGAGAAGACUGCAGCUCCUUGAGAGAAGAGAAUAUGUCAGUUUUGUUCUCUGCUGUAACCUCAAUGUUGAGAGCAGGGUGCAGACUCCCAGCCAGGCUGCCCUGACCUCCUGGGGACACUGGUCAAGGAAGAGAAACUCCAGGAUGAAGCCAAGGAAAGAGGGGCUGGGCCCCUUCUGUCUCAAGUGACAUUGGUCAGGAGCAGGUUCAGUUUCCACAUCUUUAUCAACAAGUCUAUAAUACCUGUCUGAUGCAGCUAUUAUAAAAUCUGAAUUUCACAGAGAGAUCGAUCUUGAAGGCAUCCUCCAGGGUCUGCUGCCUCUGUGCCACCAGCUGCUGCCAGAGAGUCUGCACUGUCUUCUGGAUGUUGUGUUGGACUAGCAGAGAGAGCACAUGGCACACUCAGGAUGGCCUCAGUGACCCUCCCAGAGAGGGCUGGAAGAUGGUGUGUCAUGAGUGGUUUUACCCACACCCUUCUCUCUUAAGGUCUUGAACAUCACCCCAGCUUUGCAAGCUUCAGCCAGAAGCAAUCAGUAUGGAGAGCCACAAGCCUGACAACAACGCUACCAACACCCAUGUAAGCUGGCCUUCCUCCACCUCCACCUGCCUGUCACCAAUUUCUGCCUGCCUCACAUGUCUAGGACUGGGAAAUAUCAUUUAUGAGUUCAGAGACCCCCACUCCCCACCCUGUAAUUCUGUUGGAUACCAGAGGAACACCUUGUGUGAGCUCUAGGUAGUCAAAUAGCUCCACUCAAACAGCUCCUUCCAACCUUCCCUUACAUGUUGACCACUCAGGGGAAUGGACACCAAGCUCAAGGCUAUCCUGUGGCUCAGAGCUCAGGAAACAACCAGUCCUCUUUCCUGGACCUUGCUUCUCACUACCCACCCAUUUCAGUCCCCUGAAAUUCUUCAGGUAUAAGCAGAUCUAACAAGCCAACUGUGUCUGCUGUGCCCCACAUCUGUAAUACCCUGAACCACGCCUAAAUUUCUUCUGAUCUUGGACCAAUGAGUCCCGUCUCUGGACCAAUGAGCCCCUGGAGACUGUUUCUCUCACCCUAAGGGAAUGGACAGUGCCCAGCCCAGCUCUACCAGCCAAGUCCCAAAGUGUGUACAUCCAUGUUGUAAUCAACACCAUGUCCAAUAAACUUUAAAGUCACGAG